RNAcentral lists this ribosomal RNA (466 nucleotides) under uncultured bacterium. Its description in RNAcentral is "partial 16S ribosomal RNA". It matches the Rfam family "Bacterial small subunit ribosomal RNA", at positions 338 to 795 of the family's 1533-position model. The record is from RNAcentral.
CCUACGGGGGGCAGCAGUGGGGAAUAUUGCGCAAUGGGCGAAAGCCUGACGCAGCGACGCCGCGUGAGGGAUGAAGGUCUUCGGAUCGUAAACCUCUGUCAGCAGGGAAGAACGGUCACUGUGCUAAUCAGCAGUGAAUUGACGGUACCUGCAAAGGAAGCACCGGCUAACUCCGUGCCAGCAGCCGCGGUAAUACGGGGGAUGCAAGCGUUAUCCGGAUUUACUGGGUUUAAAGGGUGCGUAGGCUGUGAGGUAAGUCAGCGGUGAAAUGCCCCCGCUCAACGGGGUGAAGUGCCAUUGAUACUGGCUAGCUGGAGUGCGGAUGCGGUGAGAGGAAUGUGUGGUGUAGCGGUGAAAUGCAUAGAUAUCAGACAGAACAUCGGUUGCGAAGGCGACUAACGGAUACGCGAUUGACGUUGAGGCUCGAAAGCGUGGGGAGCAAACAGGAUUAGAUACCCCAGUAGUC